RNAcentral lists this small RNA (114 nucleotides) under Marmota monax (woodchuck). The record is from RNAcentral. Lineage: Eukaryota; Metazoa; Chordata; Mammalia; Rodentia; Sciuridae.
AGGUGCAGUGGUGUUCACCUGUAAUCCCCAGCUACUUGGGAAACUAAGGCAGGAGGAUCACUUGAGUUCAAGAGUUUGGCACCAGACUGGGUAACAUAGUGAGACCUGGUUCUU